UUCUGAUUUAAUGUUAUCAUAAUCCUGGAAUGUUUGUUUGUGGCUCUGGCCACCAUUACAGUUGAAAAUACCCAAUGUCAUGCCAGAGAGUGGAGGACGUGACAUCAACAGAUUCUGUGCUAAAGAUACAUAAAUGGGAUAUAUUAAUGCAACAUUUAGCAGUUGGAAGGUCUGAGUGUUCUGUUCUUCAAAUUGUAGAAGACAAAAUGUUUCCUUUUACCAGGCUUCUGACUCCAAAGACUUACAGCUGGUUGUAACUUGAAGCUUCAUUCAGCUGAUUUGGAAAAUCAAAAGCCUAUGAUUGAGUACUGACUCUGCCAUCAGUAAAUGAACAUAGAUCCCUUGAACACUGAUUAUAUUCUCAGAACACUGGUAUCAGCAGAGUAUUUAGAAGUACAAUGAUAGAAAUAAUGACAACUACGUUAAUGUAGUGUAUCUUAGAGAAGUAGAAGUUCCUUGCUAUGCAGGCACUCUAAAUGAAUUAUAGAGAUAAGAAUACAAUAAAAAAUUAUGAAUGACCUACA
This is a long non-coding RNA of Bubalus bubalis (water buffalo), 524 nucleotides long. RefSeq lists it as uncharacterized. Lineage: Eukaryota; Metazoa; Chordata; Mammalia; Artiodactyla; Bovidae. The transcript is spliced from 2 exons. The record is from RefSeq and is a predicted model, not a curated record.